RNAcentral lists this long non-coding RNA (627 nucleotides) under Zostera marina. RNAcentral describes it as "long non-coding RNA (ZMAR_LNC004838)". The record is from RNAcentral. Lineage: Eukaryota; Viridiplantae; Streptophyta; Magnoliopsida; Alismatales; Zosteraceae.
UUAUUUUUUGGGGGAUUUUAUUAUAAAUAGCUUCUAAGAUGGAUUUAUUAUCAUUUCUACCCAUCGAACCUAUGUCCUAGACCUAGAGGGAAAGGGAGGAGCUCUCCCACAUGUUCAUCUCUUCUACAACUUCAGCUUUCUCGUCGCCGUCUAGGUCACUCGCUGGUCUUGUCGCAAAUCGACGUCGUCCAGAUCGCUCUCCAAUCUUAAUUAAACCUUCUUUGCUCCUCGCCAACACAGGUUAAUCGUCCAACUUCAUCUUCCUCAUCCCUUUAAUGCCACCUCUCUUAGGUCCCUUUCUUGAUGUUCGUUCUUCGUCAAUAGGGAUGGUGUGGAUCAUUCGGAACGUGAUUGGAAGGGAGAGAUACAUGAAUGCUAGACAGAGGUUAAAGACGGUUGCUUGAAAAAAAUGGAGUUUGAUAUGCUCAAGGAAGUUGAUGCAUUAAUGACUGGAGAGGAUGAGGAUGUCAGAGACGGUUCACAUCGACGCUGUCCGCUCGUUCCUUUAUCCGAUAUACCUAUCGACACCUGAUGACGUGCAUGUUCGUUAUGCGUUCUACGAGAUCCCAGGUGUGGUUUCGAGAGAGCGUGUCAAGUACAUUGUUCAUCGUCGUAAUCCAGUUCUUG